Molecule: unclassified non-coding RNA, 1850 nt
Filed under: uncultured fungus
Lineage: Eukaryota; Fungi
Description: sequence contains 18S rRNA gene, ITS1, 5.8S rRNA gene, ITS2, 28S rRNA gene
Rfam family: Eukaryotic large subunit ribosomal RNA (bases 738-1850)
Source: RNAcentral
GGAAGGAUCAUUAACAACGUAUCCACGUUUUAUCAACCAACUGUGAACUUGUUUUCAAAUCUCCAACUGUUGUCUGACAGUCCCGGAUGGUUCCAUCCAUGCAUGGAACCAGCCGUAUGGGAGUGCCAGAUGAUGACUCUAUCAUACACCAUUCUAACCGUACUUUUUACUAGUUGACUUUAUCUGUUGUGAAUUGGAACGAAUUUCUUUCGAUUUCAGUUCUCACACGUUUCUUAAUUGAACGAUAAAUUUACAACUCUUGGCGAUGGAUAUCUUGGUUCUCGCAACGAUGAAGAACGCAGCGAAAUGCGAUACGUAAUGCGAAUUGCAGGAUUCAGCGAAUCAUCAAAUCUUUGAACGCAAAUUGCGCUCUUGGGUAGCCCUAGGAGCACGCCUCUCUCAGUAUCGGUUCAAUCUAAUCUCAGCAGCGUCAUUGGCAACAAUUGCGUGUGCUGGACAAUGAGAGUCUGAAUGUUCACUCUUUAGUCUCUUGAAAUCCAUGGAAUGAAAAACUCAACUAAUUGACGCAUGCUUCGGCAUCGCUCAGUCUCUGACUGUUGUCUUCUUAGUGACGUGAAUACUGAUCUUUAUGAUCUCUUCUACGUGUAUCUUUGAAGCAAUACCUAAGGUCUAGGACUGCAGUGCGUCGUCAAUUGACUAUGGUUGAUGUGCUCAUGCAACGUGACUGUAUGUAAGAAAGGUCACAAUCGAUCGCCGCCUUUGGCUAUCUGAAUAUUUGAUCUGAGAUGAAGUGAGACAACCCCCUGAAUUUAAGCAUAUUAAUAAGGGGAGGAAAAGAAAAUAACAAUGAUGCCCUUAGUAACGGCGAGUGAAGCGGGCAAAGCUCAAUUUGAAAAUCGAUUACCCAAGCGGGUCAUCGAGUUGUAGCCUAGAGACGUACUAUCAGCUGAAACCUGGGUAUAAGUUCUUUGGAAUGAGACAUAACAUAGGGUGAGAAUCCCGUAUAUGAUCCAAAGCUUUCAGCGUACGAUGUAUGUUCAUCGAGUCGAGUAGUUUGGGAUUGCUGCUCUAAAUGGGAGGUAAGUUUCUUCUAAAGCUAAAUAUUGGCGAGAGACCGAUAGCGAACAAGUACCGUGAGGGAAAGAUGAAAAGAACUUUGGAAAGAGAGUCAAAAGUACUUGAAAUCGCUAAGAGGGAAGCGCUGAAAACUAGUGAUAUAUGUAGUUAAUCGCUUUUAGCCCCUCUGGAUUAUGCUUAUAGUUGGAUAACUCUAUCUGUAUACUCGAAAAGGAGGUUGGAGGUUCAUAACUAUGUAUAAGUCAAGAUCAAUUCGGCAUCUGUGGGAGAAGGCAGUAAGAAAGGUAGGAGAGCAAUCUCUGUUAUAGUCUUAUUGUUCUACCUCGGGCUGGAUUGAGGAAGUAAUAGUGCGCUGCUUGCGGCUUAGUCCUAUGCACCUAUUAUUUUAUUUGUGGUCAUAGCAAUGCUAUGUCUAUGGAGAAGAGUAAUACUGUGUAUGGUGACUCUAUGUGCUAUCACGAUCUUGUACGAAAUGGUUUUCAUCGACCCGUCUUGAAACACGGACCAAGGAGUCUAACAUCUAUGCAAGUAUUUGAGUGCAAAACUCUGAUGCGUAAUGAAAGUAAAGAUAGACUUGUCUAUUGAGGUAGGAAUCCGGUCAAACGGAGGCACUAUCGACCGAUCAUCACUUGUGAAAGAUUUGAGUAAGAGCAUAUCUGUUGGGACCCGAAAGAUGGUGAUCUAUGCCUGAACAGGGUGAAGCCAGGAGAAAUUCUGGUGGAGGCUCGUAGCGAUACUGACGUGCAAAUCGUUCGUCUGAUUUGGGUAUAGGGGCGAAAGACUAAUCGAACCAUCUAGUAGCUGGUUCCCUC